Long non-coding RNA from Grus americana (Whooping crane), 642 nucleotides. RefSeq lists it as uncharacterized. The transcript is spliced from 4 exons. The record is from RefSeq and is a predicted model, not a curated record. Lineage: Eukaryota; Metazoa; Chordata; Aves; Gruiformes; Gruidae.
CUCUGAUUCAGCUGGAAGGAAAACGCCAACUCGCUCCCACCAGCCGAGCUUCCUCGCAGGCCUGCAGCAGCUUCUGAUGCCAGCAGCAGUUUGGUGGCUCUGAGGAAGGCUGGAGGGGAUUUUCGUUUUAUUGCUAUCAGCCCCAGCUGUCCUCAGGGGCCCAGGGCAGAGCGGCAUUUUCCGGGAGGCCACGCGGAGCCGUACAGGACAUGGUGUACACGGUGCCACCCGGGGAUGUGGUGCAAGGAAGGGAAACGCCAGAUUUGAGCUGAAGCAAAGUGGGGUACCAUUCCAGAUGAUGGCAUCACGGCUCUGUGCCACAGAAGGCAGAGGAUCUCUUCAGGUGGACUCCAGCCUGGCACGAGCCCUCCGUCCCCUUGCCCCAGUGCCACCACCGUGGGAUGGUGGGAGCACAGCCCUCUCGGGUGACAGAGACCUCUUAGCACCAUGACCACGCUUUGAGCUUGCGCGCUGUACCCCAUCCUUUUCAUCUGAGAGCCAUGGCCACCACUGGACUUGGUCCCAGAGGCUGAAGGACCAUCCCAGGAACUCGCCAUGACUCUUGGCUUCCCACCAGAUGGUCCCGUGGAACACAGAAGCCACGCUGCAGGUUGGUCUGUCGCAUUUCUGACUGCAGUCAGG